Molecule: non-coding RNA, 384 nt
Filed under: Lewinella sp. 4G2
Lineage: Bacteria; Pseudomonadati; Bacteroidota; Saprospiria; Saprospirales; Lewinellaceae
Description: Bacterial large subunit ribosomal RNA
Rfam family: Bacterial large subunit ribosomal RNA
Source: Rfam by way of RNAcentral
AUUCUGGAAAGGAUGACCACAGAGGGUGACAGUCCCGUACAGGUACGGUGGUGCAUGAGUUGAGUAUCCUGAGUAGGGCGGGGCCGGAGAAACCCUGUCUGAAUUUGCGGGCACCAUCCCGUAAGGCUAAAUACUCCUGAGAGACCGAUAGUGAACCAGUACCGUAAGGGAAAGGUGAAAAGAACCGCGAGAAGCGGAGUGAAAAGACCCUGAAACCGUGCGCCUACAAGCGGUCGGAGUCCCGAUUUAAUCGGGAUGACGGCGUGCCUUUUGCAUAAUGAGCCUACGAGUUACUCCUCACUAGCGAGUUUAAGGUCUAGAGGACCGGAGGCGGAGCGAAAGCGAGUCUUAACAGGGCGAGAGCUAGUGGGGGUAGACGCGAAA